This 365-nucleotide ribosomal RNA is filed under the name uncultured bacterium. RNAcentral describes it as "bacterial SSU rRNA". It matches the Rfam family "Bacterial small subunit ribosomal RNA", at positions 28 to 418 of the family's 1533-position model. The record is from RNAcentral.
GAUGAACGCUGGCGAGAUGCUUUACACAUGCAAGUCGUACGAGAGUUUUAUACUCAAGUGGCGGACGGGUGAGUAACACGUAAGAAUUUACCUUUAGGAGGGGGACAACAACGAGAAAUUGUUGCUAAUACCCCAUAUGCUUUUGAGUGAAAUGGAAUUUUCCGCCUAAAGAGAAGCUUGCGGCUGAUUAGCUAGAUAGGGUGGUAAUGGCGCCCUAUGGCGACGAUCAGUAGCUGGUCUGAGAGGAUGGACAGCCACAUUGGGACUGAGACACGGCCCAAACUCCUACGGGAGGCAGCAGUGGGGAAUUUUCCGCAAUGGGCGAAAGCCUGACGGAGCAAUACCGCGUGAGGGAUGACGGCCUG